RNAcentral lists this transfer RNA (64 nucleotides) under Palinurellus wieneckii. RNAcentral describes it as "tRNA-Asn". The record is from RNAcentral. Lineage: Eukaryota; Metazoa; Arthropoda; Malacostraca; Decapoda; Synaxidae.
UUGAUAGAAGCCAAAAAGAGGCUUAUCACUGUUAAUGAUAGAACUGAAGUUAUUUCCUAUCAAG